UGGGGAAUAUUGCGCAAUGGGGGCAACCCUGACGCAGCAACGCCGCGUGAAGGAUGAAGGUUUUCGGAUUGUAAACUUCUUUUGUUGAGGACGAAGAAAGUGACGGUACUCAACGAAUAAGCCACGGCUAACUACGUGCCAGCAGCCGCGGUAAUACGUAGGUGGCAAGCGUUGUCCGGAUUUACUGGGUGUAAAGGGCGAGUAGGCGGGUUUGCAAGUCAGAUGUGAAAUACCGGGGCUUAACCCCGGGGCUGCAUUUGAAACUGUAGAUCUUGAGUGAUGGAGAGGCAGGCGGAAUUCCCGGUGUAGCGAUGGAAUGCGUAGGAAUAUCGGGAGGAACACCAGUGGCGAAGGCGGCCUGCUGGACAUUAACUGACGCUGAGGAGCGAAAGCGUGGGGAGCAAACAGGAUUAGAUACC
RNAcentral lists this ribosomal RNA (419 nucleotides) under uncultured bacterium. RNAcentral describes it as "bacterial SSU rRNA". It matches the Rfam family "Bacterial small subunit ribosomal RNA", at positions 355 to 786 of the family's 1533-position model. The record is from RNAcentral.